This 963-nucleotide long non-coding RNA is filed under the name Mytilus galloprovincialis (Mediterranean mussel). Lineage: Eukaryota; Metazoa; Mollusca; Bivalvia; Mytilida; Mytilidae. The record is from RNAcentral.
GGAAUGAGAGCUUUGCACGAGGGAGAUACAUUCCUUAAUUUAUAAUAAUUUCUAAUACUUUGUAACAGCAAAUUUAAAUAACACAAAAAAUCCGUAUUUCAUGUACCUUAUUGAGUUGUGCUUUUUUGUUGUAAUUCAGAGGUGCUUUUCAUUUUCAUGUUGGUUGAAACAUCCUCACACCAUUCAAUUAUUUUCAGAUGUAUUUUACAGGUAUACAUAUACAUAUAUGUAUAUAUAGACAAAUAGCUAAUGACAUAGAUAAAUGAAAAUUAGAUGAAAAUGAAAAUUAUAUGAUAUUCAGGAGUAAGCCAAUUUGACAAGUGAAGUGCCUCAGGGGAUAAUGCAAUUACUAGCUUACCUGUACGAAGGUAGGUAUUUCACUUCGUUGUCGGAACGUUGGAAAAUGAAAUUGUUUGUUUAGUUCGGGCGGUGUAAAUGUACUUCCUCUAAACUCAUACAUUUAUAGUUCGAGGUAAUGAACACAUUAAGGAUGUCAAGGUCUUGUAGUGUCAUUCGUGUUUCCUCGAUUGCUUUUUCUUCUGACAUUUGUUUCAGUUUCUUCGCUAGUGUCAGUACCUAGGAUUGUGCCAUGUGAUCAGCGCUAACCUAUUCAUAGCAGGUUGCAAAUGUGAUUAUAAAAAUACACCCACUCGUAUCAGCUAAAUUGCAGCUUAAACUUUUUUAUUCAAACUUUAGAUUAAACUAUUCUGUGCAUGCGUUUCUAUCUUAUCACGAAUGAGUUACACAACUGCACCAUACAAAGCAUAACACGACAUAUCAGUGAAGCCAUCUUGAACGCAUUUAAAACAACAAUAGUCCACGAAUAUAAACUAUUUAUAAACUAUAUAUGUAUUUUUAUAUGCAUUUGUCUGAUUUGUUUUAAACUAGAAAUUGUAAUGCCAAAUCUUCUUUAUAUAUAUAAUCAAGGAGAAAACUCGAAAACAAAAUUCCAGAAGAAAACCA